AGUUCCUUAAAAAACUGGAUUGGACAGUCGGGUGUGUCGCCUAUCUUGAAUUUUUGCGUGGUUUGAAGAAUCCAUGCUCCAGAUGCUUUUAUCGCCUUUUCCUUGUGUUGCCACAUGUUGCUGCCCAACCUGACCGUUUUUCAGGCUGCAGAUGGAUGGCUGCCACCUCUGUGUUUAACGUCUGUGUGUUUCCUGGUAGGGCUGAUGUAACCAAGGAUACGCUCUCAAACACGGCGUACACAAACGGCAGAGCUUACAAUACGGAUGAAGCGAGAGUUCACACACCAAACCUGACUCCAUUGAUGAAAAAGACGAAUCAGAAGGAAACAUGGGAACGAUCUGACCGUAACUCUCGUCAAACAUCGAUUCUUUGCUGUUUCUAAAACGUUUAAACUUCUCAGAUGUCAUCGCUGCAGAGACGACGCAUCAGCGACAAUAAAAUUAUUAGAUUCGA
Gambusia affinis (western mosquitofish) is the source of this 454-nucleotide long non-coding RNA. RefSeq lists it as uncharacterized. The transcript has 2 exons. NCBI's taxonomy places the organism in Eukaryota, Metazoa, Chordata, Actinopteri, Cyprinodontiformes, Poeciliidae. The record is from RefSeq and is a predicted model, not a curated record.